RNAcentral lists this transfer RNA (87 nucleotides) under Spirochaetota bacterium. RNAcentral describes it as "Spirochaetes bacterium (wastewater metagenome) tRNA-Ser". It matches the Rfam family "tRNA". From Rfam's summary of the family: Transfer RNA (tRNA) molecules are approximately 80 nucleotides in length. The record is from RNAcentral. Lineage: Bacteria; Pseudomonadati; Spirochaetota.
GGAGAGGUGCGAGAGCGGUCGAAUCGGGCGCCCUGCUAAGGCGUUGAACUGGUAACGGUUCCAAGGGUUCGAAUCCCUUCCUCUCCG